RNAcentral lists this small nuclear RNA (150 nucleotides) under Daucus carota subsp. sativus. Its description in RNAcentral is "sRNA DCAR_sn00437". It matches the Rfam family "U1 spliceosomal RNA". Rfam says of the family: U1 is a small nuclear RNA (snRNA) component of the spliceosome (involved in pre-mRNA splicing). Its 5' end forms complementary base pairs with the 5' splice junction, thus defining the 5' donor site of an intron. The record is from RNAcentral. Lineage: Eukaryota; Viridiplantae; Streptophyta; Magnoliopsida; Apiales; Apiaceae.
UUACUUACCUGGAUGCGGUCAAUGGGCGAUCAAUAAGGCUCAUGGCCUAGGUCAGUGACCUCCAUUGCACUGAGGAGGGGCCCAUUGAUUGUUAACUAUAAGUUACUUUAGACUUUAGGGCUUUGUACAAAAUAUUUUUAUGAGUCACAA